CGGGUAGGAGUAACUACGUAUAGCAACCCUAGCCUGCCACAGCCGGAUAAUCGGGAGAAAUUCCGUCUAAUACGGCAUAAUGCAUCGACGGGACAUCCUGUUGGUGCCAAGGUUGAUUCCGGUGGCGGAUGGGCAUGCGUCGCAUUAGUUAGUUGGCGGUGUAACGGACCACCAAGACGACGAUGCGUAGGGGUUCUGAGAGGAAGGUCCCCCCACACUGGUACUGAGACACGGACCAGACUCCUACGGAAGGCAGCAG
This 259-nucleotide ribosomal RNA is filed under the name uncultured bacterium. Its description in RNAcentral is "partial 16S ribosomal RNA". It matches the Rfam family "Bacterial small subunit ribosomal RNA", at positions 100 to 354 of the family's 1533-position model. The record is from RNAcentral.